Molecule: ribosomal RNA, 448 nt
Filed under: uncultured bacterium
Lineage: Bacteria
Description: bacterial SSU rRNA
Rfam family: Bacterial small subunit ribosomal RNA
Source: RNAcentral
GUGCCAGACUCCUACGGGAGGCAGCAGUGGGGAAUAUUGCACAAUGGGGGGAACCCUGAUGCAGCAACGCCGCGUGGGUGAAGAAGUAUUUCGGCAUGUAAAGCCCUAUCAGCAGGGAAGAAGAUGACGGUACCUGACUAAGAAGCCCCGGCUAAAUACGUGCCAGCAGCCGCGGUAAUACGUAUGGGGCAAGCGUUAUCCGGAUUUACUGGGUGUAAAGGGAGCGCAGGCGGCGCGGCAAGUCAGAUGUGAAAGCCCGGGGCUCAACCCCGGGACUGCAUUUGAAACUGCCGUGCUGGAGUGUCGGAGAGGCAAGUGGAAUUCCUAGUGUAGCGGUGAAAUGCGUAGAUAUUAGGAGGAACACCAGUGGCGAAGGCGGCUUGCUGGACGAUAACUGACGCUGAGGCUCGAAAGCGUGGGGAGCAAACAGGAUUAGAUACCCCUGUAC